Ziziphus jujuba (common jujube) is the source of this 2212-nucleotide RNA transcript. It is a transcript of the gene named protein ZINC INDUCED FACILITATOR-LIKE 1-like, with no coding region annotated. The record is from RefSeq and is a predicted model, not a curated record. NCBI's taxonomy places the organism in Eukaryota, Viridiplantae, Streptophyta, Magnoliopsida, Rosales, Rhamnaceae. The transcript has 18 exons.
AUUGCAUGAUGCUAUUUAGGAGAAGCAGGAAAAUUGGUUUUCGUCUGCCACGCUUGAGUAUCUCUUUUACUAACUUGCAUUUAAUGCAGAAAUAGAUAAGAGUCUCUUCUGUGUCUCUCUCAACAUACCACAAAUCUGGGAGAUUUUUGAAAACCCAGGAAAGUAAAAAUGGCAGAAGAGAAUACAGAGAGAUUGUUGAAGAAGAAGGUCUACUAUGAGAAUUGCCCAGGUUGUAAGGUAGAGCUGUACAAAGAGUCACAACGUGGUUUACCAUUUCGAGACCUCUUUUUCAUAUGGAUUAUUGUGUUGUCUAAUGCGCUGCCAAUAUCAUCUUUGUUUCCAUUCCUUUAUUUCAUGAUUAGAGACUUUAAUAUCGCAAAAAGACAGGAAGAUAUUAGCUUCUAUGGUGGUUUUGUAGGCUCUUCAUUUAUGCUUGGCAGAGCUUUGACUGCUGUUUACUGGGGAAUAAUUGCCGAUCGCUAUGGUCGAAAACCUGUCAUAAUAAUAGGGACUAUCUCAGUGGUAAUUUUCAACACUCUUUUUGGCCUUAGUGUAAACUUUUGGAUGGCCAUUGUGACAAGGUUUCUUCUUGGAAGCUUGAAUGGUUUACUUGGACCAAUAAAGGCAUAUGCAAGCGAAGUCUUCCGGGAUGAAUACCAAGCUCUAGGCGUGUCAACUGUUAGUACAGCAUGGGGCAUAGGAUUAAUAGUUGGCCCAGCUAUUGGGGGCUACUUGGCUCAGCCUGCAGAGAAGCAUCCAAAUAUCUUUUCAAAAAAUUCAUUGUUUGGAAGAUUCCCAUACUUCUUGCCUUGCUUAUGUAUAUCACUUAUUGCAAUGGGAGUAACCAUUGUCACCAUAUGGCUUCCGGAAACAUUACACAAGCACAAUGAAAAUAGUGGAUCAACUGCUGAUUCCGAGGAAGUGUUACAAACAGCAUCUUAUGUUUCUGAUACAAACAAAACAAACCAAAAACCAGAAGCGGAGAAAACUUCUAAGAAAAGCCUUCUUAGGAAUUGGCCCUUAAUGUCUUCAAUCCUUGUUUAUUGUGUUUUCUCACUUCAUGACAUGGCAUAUACUGAGAUUUUCUCAUUAUGGGCCACAAGUCCUCGAAAUCUUGGGGGCUUGAGCUAUACAAGUGAGAAUGUUGGUCAAGUUCUUGCAAUCUCUGGUUUUAGUCUUCUUAUCUUCCAAAGUUUUCUAUAUCCAACCAUGGAAAGGAUGUUUGGUGUCAUAAUGACCUCUCGCAUUGCAGGGGUUUUAUCUAUACCUUUGUUGACAAGUUACCCCUAUAUAGCGUUGUUGUCCGGAUUCUCUCUUUCUCUGUUGAUAAAUUUGGCAUCUCUAACAAAGAAUGUCUUAGCCACCUCCAUUAUGACCGGCUUGUUCCUCCUGCAAAACAGAGCUGUGGAUCAACAUCAAAGGGGUGCUGCUAAUGGUCUAGCAAUGACUCUGAUGUCGCUGUUCAAAGCAGUUGGCCCAGCUGCGGGCGGUGCAAUUUUAUCAUGGGCACAAAGGCGUCAAGAUGCUUCUAUCCUCCCAGAUGGAAAUACACAGAGUGAAUAACUGGUUAAUCAUUUCAAGCGAUUAAUGAAACACAAACUGCUGUAAAGCAGUCAAAACAGAAUUCUUCCUCUCCUAACCAAUUUUCCUACUCCCAAUACCAUUGUGUUGAGGCUGUAGCGAGCUCAACUCUCGUUUAAACACUGAUCUUCCUCGUACAUUUUCGAGGUGAUUUUUAUGAGCUGUGAUAGCUAGUAACACAUGGCGUCUAAGAUUGAAUACUUAUGAUUCAAGUGACAGUACUCAGCGGAUGGAUCCUUUGGUGUUUGUUUAAAAUGUUCUUCCAAGGCGACCAGAUAGUUUUCUUCAUCCUGAAUGUUAUCGAGGCUGUUGGAGUGCUAAUGACAUUUAAACCAUUUCUAACAACAGCAUAACGUGAAUCAAGAUCUCUAUGUAUGUGGCUGGAAAAGCUCAAAGAAAAUCCUUCCAUAUAUGUAGCCACUAUUGAAUCCUCACCAUUGGCUGGAUUGUACUCUUCCGCAAGGUUGAUAUGUUAUCAAGGAGGGAAAAAGAAAAUCUCCCAUUCAAUUAUUCAAAUGUAAACAACUUUAUUGAUUAUUUGUUUGUUAAGUCAUUUUAUUACGUGUCAUAUUGUAUUAUGGAAGCAUGCAAUGCUAUAUAUCUUAGCAGGUAGGGAUGCAAAUUCUGGCAA